RNAcentral lists this ribosomal RNA (429 nucleotides) under Chloroflexota bacterium. RNAcentral's name for it is "Chloroflexi bacterium partial 16S ribosomal RNA". It matches the Rfam family "Bacterial small subunit ribosomal RNA", at positions 355 to 776 of the family's 1533-position model. The record is from RNAcentral. Lineage: Bacteria; Bacillati; Chloroflexota.
UGGGGAAUAUUGCACAAUGGGCGCAAGCCUGAUGCAGCCAUGCCGCGUGUAUGAAGAAGGCCUUCGGGUUGUAAAGUACUUUCAGUCGGGAGGAAGGUGUCAAGGUUAAUAACCUUGGCAAUUGACGUUACCGACAGAAGAAGCACCGGCUAACUCCGCGCCAGCAGCCGCGGUAAUACGGAGGGUGCAAGCGUUAAUCGGAAUUACUGGGCGUAAAGCGCACGCAGGCGGUUGAUUGAGUCAGAUGUGAAAUCCCCGGGCUUAACCCGGGAAUUGCAUCUGAUACUGGUCAGCUAGAGUCUUGUAGAGGGGGGUAAAAUUCCAUGUGUAGCGGUGAAAUGCGUAGAGAUGUGGAGGAAUACCGGUGGCGAAGGCGGCCCCCUGGACAAAGACUGACGCUCAGGUGCGAAAGCGUGGGGAGCAAACAGG